AAAAAUAAAGGACGCGUCUAGCUGGCAAUCGAGUGCCCCGUAGGGAUUCCUGGCAACCUGCCCUAUUAGGAAAGUUUUGGUCCCCAUGCAAAAGUGGAAAAGUUAUAGCUGCGAUCAUGCCCUGUGCGUUCCACCUGUGGUUCCAUUCGGGUUCUGCUACCCCACCCGUGGUUCCAUCUGCUGUAACUCCUUCCUGCAAUAGCAUGCGACAAACAAGUUAGAAAUGCGUCAGGUGCAUUUAAUUUCAUGCCAAAAUAAAUUCAAAAAGCUGCAACUUUUAAACCGAGCGUCGAAAUUAAUUUUCGUUUUCACCAUUUGGUUUCUCGUAGCAAUAUCUUCAAAACAAGGUCUCAUAUGGGUAUGUUUUGAUGAACUUUUUUUUCAAGCAACUUUGCAGCCAUAUGGGGCAACUUCGGUGCCACAGAAAGCAACUCUGCAGUAGAUUGCCUAUCGCGAUUACAUAUUUAUCCCAUUUCUUCGAAGUUGGCUAUCGGUUCUAUAGGAAGCAACUCAAGUGCUAUAUGGGACAACUUUGAUGCUACAUGAAAAAACUUAGAAGUAGAUUGACUAUCACGAUUACAUAUCUACCCCCCAAAGUACUCCUAAAUUGGCUGCCACAACUAGAAGAAUCAACUUUAGCGUUAUAUGGUGCAACUUUUCUAUCGCCUAAUAUCACCUAUGCUUCCCUCUAAAAGUUGGAGACCAUGACUGCCAAGUUGCCUAACGUCAUUUCUCAAGUUGCAAAAUAUCAUCUCUAAAGUUGGCUAACAUGACUAGAAAGUAUCAUAACAUUAUCCUAACUUGCCUCGGAGUACUUUCUAGUACUAUAAGUAACUUAGCUUUAGAGGUAGAAAAAACUUAGAAACAAUGUUGGGCAAGUUUCAUAGUGUGGCAGGCAACUAAUUAGUGAUGGCACAGAACUAAGUAUCAUUGGUACAGGCAGCUAGUUAGCAAUGUCAAGCAACUUAUCGGUCAUAAAAUAGGUGACUAAAAAUCACAAUGGGAGACUACUAAGGAUCAACACUAGGUACUUUGUACUAUUGUAGACAAAGUUAGACAAAUUCAUUAGCACACACUAUGUAAUGAACUUGCUUAUGUGUACCAUUAAAGUUGCCUCCCUUAGCAAGAAAGUUGCUUUCAAAGUUUCGUAAAGUUGCCACACCCAGGCAGAUUCACCUCUUCCCCCAAACAACAAAAAUGGUGUGAAGUUGCCAAUCCCCCAACAACGUACCACUUGUGGUAGACAACUAAUGGUUUUCAUUUAGAGAACUUUGCUUCUAUCCACCUAGACAACAAAACUGGUGUGAAGUUUGUUGCCAAACAAUAGGUCUUUUUAUCCUAGAUAACUAGUGGGCUUUUUAGCGAAAGAUUUUUAUUUAGGCAACUUUGCCUUUGACCGUGACAUCAGACUAGAGGCGAUGGGGUGGAAGCCGAGGAGCAAGAAGUUGUUGAAGAUGACAACGUGGACGGGUCUUGUGCCAGACAACGAACGGGUGUUGAUUAUGUUACAACCAAAAUGGUUUGCUUGUUUGGUGAACCAAAAUGAAAAGUUGUUUCAGUGUAUCAAAUUGAUGAAAAAAAAUCUAUGAAACUUUGCUGAUUUAGUAACUUCCAAUUAUAAAUCAAUUUGCCUCUAAAAUGUAUCUCUGGGCAACUCACGCCAGCCUCUCUAGAAACUAACUUCUAUGGUUUGGGCAAGUUUUGGGCGAAAUAAACCAAGUACUCUCGGGAGAGGAUCUUUGGGCAACUCACUUCAGUAUCUCUAGCAACUAACAAUCAUGCAUUGGGCAAGUUUUGGACACUUUCUGCUCAAAUUGUCGACGAUUAUAGCCCCCGCACCGCCACACUGCAAACCACCCCUGCAUUCAAAAAACAUCGAUUCACCCAAAAAAUCUAAGACCCCACGCACCCCUCUUCAACCUCCCUAUCCCUACCUCUAUCGCACAGAAUUGUAGAUGUGGGUGAAAACACAGACUUUGGGGGUCAAUUUCGUGAUACUUGCCAACGAUUUUCGGCCCAAUUCCUCGACCAUUGGCGACAACACUUUCCUGGCUCUAGAUCCUCUCAGCUAGGUGAUCACGGUGCAUAGACAACACUGCCCCCUCGAAUGUCAUCCUGUUUCGCUUGGGCCAAGCAACUCGUAUGCUAACUUAUGGCAACUGUCGACACCAAAUAAAAACCUCAAACAAAUCAUAUUGAGGAAAUCUAGUUUCGGCAAAUCAAUUAGCAUGGUUCAGGAAACUCGUAUGCAAACUUCUGGUAACUGUCCACACCAAAAAAACUCGAGAAAAAUCGUACUGAGGAAGUAUGGUUUUGACAACUCAAUUAGCAGGGGUAGGAACUCCUACUCAAUCUCAUGGCAUCUCCUAUAAAAAAACUCCCCCACCUCCUCUCUGGUUUACAUGGGGUAGGCAACUCAAUAUCAAUCUUGAAGCAACUUCACAUCAAUCUCGAAGGAACUCACAGAUCUGGCAAAAACCUAAUACAACCACUGAUUAGCGUGAAGACUCGCCCCUCGCUCCUGAAAUUACACACCACAGAUCUAACAACUCCGACCCGGAUCCCAUCUCUAGUCUCUACGCGCAUGAUCCCCUCCUCCCUCCCGGCGCCCAUGAAAAAUCCCCGACCCCCUCCCCAGGAUGCAAUGAGCUAGAGGAACCUCGUUGGAGAAGAAACGGGAACGCAAAAAAUGGCAAGAGGAACGAGUUCUGUACCUUGGGAUUUCUGCAGCGAGUCCCCUCUUUACUCGCCGGAAACGCAACAUCACCGUGACAGAGCGCACCCCACUACGCCCCCGCGCGCACUCCAUCGCAGCAUCUCGCACCUCCGUUAUAGAACCGCC
RNAcentral lists this long non-coding RNA (2842 nucleotides) under Triticum aestivum (bread wheat). Its description in RNAcentral is "long non-coding RNA (TAES_LNC027578)". The record is from RNAcentral. Lineage: Eukaryota; Viridiplantae; Streptophyta; Magnoliopsida; Poales; Poaceae.